Molecule: long non-coding RNA, 5465 nt
Organism: Hemicordylus capensis (graceful crag lizard)
Lineage: Eukaryota; Metazoa; Chordata; Lepidosauria; Squamata; Cordylidae
Exons: 2
Source: RefSeq, a predicted model, not a curated record
UAUGAAUGGGUUUGGGUCCAUGCCUAAUACUUGAGGAUCUGUGGAGCAGGCGUAGGUGCAAAAACGCAAAGACCCGCUGGGUUAGAUUGUCUGGAAUGUCUUGGUCACACCAUAAACUGAAUUUAUGCAAUUGGAGGAUUUUUUUUUUUUUAAUCGCUCUUUUCUUUUUCUUGUCUCCUUUCCGCUCAUUUUGUAGUUUAUUUGCAAACUUGGCGGGGGGCGGGGGAGGGCGAGAGCGCAUAGAUUUACCUUGCAGACCCGCAACUAACAAGGCUACCCACAGAGUACAUUGUGAGAUCAGGCACUUCAACUACAGAAACGCACAGAUCCGCAGCGAGCCGCUUGGAAACGUCUUCGUCUUGUCCGAGAGUCGAGCGUGCGAACUUAGGUAGCCCGCGCGGUGGAAACGUACCAACCAGUGUAACAGCAAAAAGUUCGGUACUGCUGGAGCGUCCGCAAAGUCUGCUUUUCUUUCCUAAUCCACAUCCCUUCUCCGACUUUUUCAGAAGUGAGAGAUGCUGCCCAGAAAAACCACUGGCAAAACCCAGGAUUUCAUUUCACACUGUAAUAUACAGGGAACACACAAGCGCUCGCUCCGCGCCAUGGCGAAGAGGCUUCCUCCACGCCGAAUGAGAUCCGAAGCCAUUUGGGAAACUGUCCGGUUGGAAUGUAUUUUAGUUGCUUCUGCACUGGCCCGGUUGGUUGUUAGAUCGAGCAACCCGACUGCGGUCCUGAAAGAGAGAAAGCCGCUGGGAAGCGCCUCCUUCCUCACAAGCAAUCUUCGUUUUUACCGAGAGAGGCUAGUGAAACCUGGAGGGAAACUGUGCCGAGAACAAAGAGAACAGCUCGGAUCGGCUUCUCCGAGGAGCUCCGGCAGCGCUCGUCGCCCCCCAAGGACGCCCAUCGGCACAAUGCAGCAGCCUGACAAGGCAGAGCAGGCCAGGAAUCCGACCACUGCAGACAGAUCCGGAGAAGACAGAACAACCUCUUGGGAUUAAUCCUCGGCUUCAGGCUUUCAGGAUGAAGCCCAAGAGGUGCCAGUGUAGCCCAGCGGAUAGGAGGGGAGACUCGGGCGAGGGAAGACGGUCUCAAAGCCCCUUUCCCUCAUGUGUAUUUGUUUAAUAAUAGUAUUUUAUACGAAGGUUCCGGUUUUUAAAAUAUUAUAAGAAAGACAGAAAGAAAGACUGCUCAUCUAAGGUGACCCUUGCUUGCUUGCUUGCUUGCUUGCUUGCUUUCUCUCUCAAAAUAAUAGUAUUUUAUACGAAGGUUCUGGUUUCUAAAUUAUUUGAAAGAAAGCAAGCCAGCCACUCGUCUUAUAUUAAAGUCAGCAGGGCAGGGUGGGGAGUGAGAAUUACGCAAGCAACCAUGUGAACUGAUUCCAGCCAGUCAAGAUGAAGCAGCACUCCACCCCACUUUGCAAGCAAAACAACCAUUUCCAGGAAAGCAGAUGGGAGACUUGAAAUAGUGCCCUGGCUCUGAACUGUUCAGUGUUAGCAGAUUGUUCGCAAGGACGGAGUGGCAUAGUCUAACAAAGUCCUGUAGAAAGAAAACCAAGAAUCUGUGUGGGUUGCUGUCAGACCUACAAACGAAAAUAAAUUAAACAUCACAGAAGGCCAUUAAGUCACAAGAAUGGUUCAUAAUGGAGCAGCCCAACAGUUACAAAACAAACAGCAGCAUUUGUGAUUUAAUAAUGUAGACUUCUGGCUCUGCCCCACACCCAUGAAGCAUUUAAAUGUAGCCUCAUAGCAGUCGAAAGACAUUCCGUCAGCUCUGUAUUCUGCAAAAGGCACCCACAGCAUAUUGUCUCUUGACAUGCCUGGCUGGAGCUGAUCAGAAAAUGGCUCCUCCUCCUGUUAUAGCUGCUGUGUGACUGUGUAAUGGCGGGGCAGGAUAUGAAUAAGCUGUAUGACUACCACUUACCGGACAAGAUGCUAUUUACACACAUCCAAGCAGAGGUGCACCUAGGUAAUUUGGGAGCCUGGCCCUAAAGGAAAAGUCAGAAAUACUUCGCAACGUUUUGUAACUGCUCUCCUUCUCAUGCUAUGUUUUGAAUGACAGUACCCUCCCUGCCCUGGAUCUAAUAAGCAAUAUCAGCUUCACAACGUGCGCUGAAAAGUCUCUCUCAUCUCUUGGUUUACUAUAGAGAUUAUGAUUCAGAGUGCCCUGUUGAUGCCCCAAGUGAGAAGGGUUGCCACCAUAUUCAAGCUUCUCAAAUCCGGGUGGCCUAGUCUGCGCACAAUGCAAAUUAUGCUGUAACUCAUUUGCAUCAUUUGGUUCACGCAUGUGAGCCAGUGUGGUGUAGUGCUUAGAGUGCUGGACUAGGCCCGGGGAGACCCGAGUUCAAAUCCCCAUUCAGCCAUGAGACUUGCUGGGUGACUGGGCCAGUCACUUCUCUUUCAGCCUAACCUGACCACCCCGUCCCAGAACCAGCUUUCAGCUGCAGCAGAGCAGUUGAAAAGGCAAAGUCACAUGACAAGGGGGCGUGGCCUGGGCUGCCAAGAGCCCGAACGAGCUCUUGGCGCGUCAUUUCAGGCAGGGUCGGCUGCCUAAUAGGACGUCUUCCCCUUUGUCUCCCUCCAGAGAGGGAGAGGAAGGGAAAAACGUUCUAUUGGACAGUCGGAGCUGCCUGAAAUACUUGGCAGAGAGUUUGCCCGCUAGCUCUCAGCAGCCCGGGCAUGGGAGGAGGGAGUUCACUCUGGGCUCCUAUGGAGCCCAAGCCACACCCCGUGCACGCCACGGGCAUAUCGGAAGGGGCCGCCGCUCGGCUGGCUCCGCGCCUGCCCUCAAUGCCUUGUGCUUAUGUUAAAAAUAGUAACUUUGGCUAAUUUUCCUCAUCAUGCCAGCUAGUAAUAACCAUCAGACAAUCAGCUGUCCCUUUAGCUUGUGUGCCUGCUGAGCUGUUUCAUUACUCACUCUCCUAUAUGAACUAAUAUCUUUGUGAAACUAGGGAUGUGCACGAAUUGAUUGUUUUGUUUCAAUUUGUACCCAAAUCAAAUCACCCCCAAUUUGUUUUGGGUCUGAAUCUGCCCCCAUAAAAAUCACCCCAGAUUUGAUUUGUACCUGAAUUUUCCAAAUCUGAAUUGAUUCGAGGCAAGGGGUCCCGGGGGCAAAAGAGUGGGAUGGGUGGUUGGGCCCAAUGGACAUAUGGGAAGCUACCACGCAUAUUUCCAAGAAUUUGGGCAAAGGGGUGAUUUUUAAAGAUUUUUGAAGUUGGUGCAUCUUUAAGCUUUUCCCCAUAGAGAAUAAUGGGGAUUUCAGCUGCCUUAUAGCUUCAUGUGGAGGGCACCAGAGUGGGUUGUGGUGGGUGAAAGUGCCCAAUGGGCGCAAGGAAUCUACUACCUAGAUUUCAAAGAAAUUGGCCAAAGGGCUGAUUUUUAAAGCAUUUCUGAAGUGUACACGUCUUUAAGCUUUUCCCCACUGGGAAUAAUGGGGAUUUCAGCAGCCUUACUUAUAACUCCCCAGGGUGUGUGGCAGCAGGGUGGCCCAGAGAGGGUUGUCAUGGGUGGUAGCGCCCAGUGGGUGCAAGGAAGCUACCACCCAGAUUCCAAAGGAAUUGGGCAAAGGGAUGAUUUUUAAAUGAUUUUUGAAGUUGGCAUGUCUUUGGGGCAGAUUUGGGGCAGAAAGGGGGUUUCUGGAGGAGAAGAGUGGGUCAGGUGGUAGUGCCCCAAUGGGUGCCUGCUACCAUCCAGAUUUCAAAGAAAUCGGUGAAAGGGGUGAUUUUUAAAGAAUUUCUGAAGUUUGUGCGUCUUUAAGCUCUUUCCGAUAGGGAAUAAUGGGGAUUUCAGCAGCCCCAUAACUCCACUUGGGGGGCACAAGGGUGGCCCAGAGUGAGUGGUAGUGUAGUGCACAUAGAUUGCCAACCACCCCCAAACCUACAAGCCCAUGGGGCACUGGGGUUUGUUGUUUCUGAGGUCUUCUAUGAGUAGAUUCUCUGGUAGCAAAUGAUAGUGGGUUCAAUGACAAACAUAAAUAAUCAUAACUUAUUGGAUUUAUUAUUCGUUAGUUUUCUCCACCAUGGAUUCCCCUGACUGUAUUGUGUUGUCUGAGAUCCAGUUCGAUGCCAUGCCGACUGUCCUUUCCCAUUCUUGGGAUCUGUAUUUCUGAUGUGUAUGAUGGACAUGGUUUACCCCCCAAAAUGUCUUCAUGCUUAAUUCAGAGGCAAUGUGCCUUUGCAUGCAAGUUGCAGGGGAGCACGGCAGCAGAGCGGGUAUAACUUCAUCUCCUGCUUGUCGUCUUCCCAGAGGUAUCUGGUUAGCCACUGUGGGACACAAGUGGAUGCAGCAGGAGAUGGGCCAUGACCUGAUCCAGCAGAGCUAUUCUUGUCUGUUCAACUAGCUGUGUAUGUGUGUGAAAGAGAUCAACUAACUAACCAAUCACCAAGUCAGAAAGAGUGUCCAGCAGCAGUGAAGGCAUAAGAACUUAUGAACAUAAGAACAGCCCUGCUGGAUCAGGCCCAAAGCCCAUCUAGUCCUGCAUCCUGUUUCACACAGUGGCCCACCAGAAGAUGCUAGGAAGCCAAGAGGCAGGAGGGCCCUCUCUCCUGCUGCUACUCCCCUGCAACUCUUAUUCAGAGGCAUCCUUAUAGCCUCAGCUAUAAGUGGCUUAUAGCCCUCAGACUAGUAGCCAUUGAUAGACGUCUCCUCCAUGAAGUUAUCCAAAUCCCUCUUGUUGGCUAUCACCACAUCUUGUGGCGAUACAUCUUGUGUAAAAAAAGUACUUCCGUUUGUUGGUCCUCAAUUUCCUGGUAAUCAAUUUCAUGGGAUGAUCCCUGGUUCUAAUGUUAUGGGAGAGGGAGAAAAAAUUCUCUCUAUCCACUUUCUCCACACCAUGCAUGAUUUUAUAGACCUCUGUCAUGUAUCCCCACAGUUGUCUUGUUUCUAAACUAAAAAGCCAAGUUAGUAAGCUUUGUGGCUGCAAACCAUAAGAGAACUGUUAGACAUGGUGAGAAACAAAAUAUUCUUGGUAUGACCUUUCUCUCACUGCUGUGCAAAUAUCAGGAAACACAUAACUCCUUCCCCUGGCAAGUGUGCAUGGAACUAUGCAAAUAGAGGACAGCUGAUUUGUUACUUUUUGUUACUUUUUCCUCACAGUGAGAAGAAGGGGUGCAUAAGGUUUAGAAUUCACCCCACAAAUUUAAAAGGAAUAACCCAUCGUGAAACAACUGGACAUCAGUCCAAGAAAAUAAUGAAGAGUCUUUUGGCACCUGAAAGACUAAUAUAUUUAUUGUGGCAGAAGCUUUCAUGGACUCAAUCCCACUUCAUCAGAUGCAACAGGCUCCACACAAGUACCUCUGUGGAAGUUGCUAGGAAGAAUGGCUGUUGCUGGUGUCUAUCUUAUGUUUCUUUUUUAAGCUAGUGAGCCCUUUGGGGAACAGGGAGCCAUUUUAUUUAUUUAUAUCUAUGUAACCCACUUUGGGAACUUUGCUUGAAAAGCAGUAAUAAAUAUUCAUCAUCUUCUGAAGAACA